Molecule: ribosomal RNA, 2900 nt
Filed under: Klebsiella pneumoniae
Lineage: Bacteria; Pseudomonadati; Pseudomonadota; Gammaproteobacteria; Enterobacterales; Enterobacteriaceae
Description: bacterial LSU rRNA
Rfam family: Bacterial large subunit ribosomal RNA
Source: RNAcentral
UUAAGCGACUAAGCGUACACGGUGGAUGCCCUGGCAGUCAGAGGCGAUGAAGGACGUGCUAAUCUGCGAAAAGCGUCGGUAAGGUGAUAUGAACCGUUAUAACCGGCGAUGUCCGAAUGGGGAAACCCAGUGCAAUUCGUUGCACUAUCGUUAACUGAAUACAUAGGUUAACGAGGCGAACCGGGGGAACUGAAACAUCUAAGUACCCCGAGGAAAAGAAAUCAACCGAGAUUCCCCCAGUAGCGGCGAGCGAACGGGGAGCAGCCCAGAGUCUGAAUCAGCUUGUGUGUUAGUGGAACGGUCUGGAAAGUCCGACGGUACAGGGUGAUAGUCCCGUACACCAAAAUGCACAGGUUGUGAACUCGAAGAGUAGGGCGGGACACGUGGUAUCCUGUCUGAAUAUGGGGGGACCAUCCUCCAAGGCUAAAUACUCCUGACUGACCGAUAGUGAACCAGUACCGUGAGGGAAAGGCGAAAAGAACCCCGGCGAGGGGAGUGAAAAAGAACCUGAAACCGUGUACGUACAAGCAGUGGGAGCACCUUCGGGUGUGACUGCGUACCUUUUGUAUAAUGGGUCAGCGACUUAUAUUCUGUAGCAAGGUUAACCGUAUAGGGGAGCCGCAGGGAAACCGAGUCUUAACUGGGCGUUAAGUUGCAGGGUAUAGACCCGAAACCCGGUGAUCUAGCCAUGGGCAGGUUGAAGGUUGGGUAACACUAACUGGAGGACCGAACCGACUAAUGUUGAAAAAUUAGCGGAUGACUUGUGGCUGGGGGUGAAAGGCCAAUCAAACCGGGAGAUAGCUGGUUCUCCCCGAAAGCUAUUUAGGUAGCGCCUCGUGAACUCAUCUUCGGGGGUAGAGCACUGUUUCGGCUAGGGGGUCAUCCCGACUUACCAACCCGAUGCAAACUACGAAUACCGAAGAAUGUUAUCACGGGAGACACACGGCGGGUGCUAACGUCCGUCGUGAAGAGGGAAACAACCCAGACCGCCAGCUAAGGUCCCAAAGUCAUGGUUAAGUGGGAAACGAUGUGGGAAGGCACAGACAGCCAGGAUGUUGGCUUAGAAGCAGCCAUCAUUUAAAGAAAGCGUAAUAGCUCACUGGUCGAGUCGGCCUGCGCGGAAGAUGUAACGGGGCUAAACCAUGCACCGAAGCUGCGGCAGCGACACUAUGUGUUGUUGGGUAGGGGAGCGUUCUGUAAGCCUGCGAAGGUGUGCUGUGAGGCAUGCUGGAGGUAUCAGAAGUGCGAAUGCUGACAUAAGUAACGAUAAAGCGGGUGAAAAGCCCGCUCGCCGGAAGACCAAGGGUUCCUGUCCAACGUUAAUCGGGGCAGGGUGAGUCGACCCCUAAGGCGAGGCCGAAAGGCGUAGUCGAUGGGAAACAGGUUAAUAUUCCUGUACUUGGUGUUACUGCGAAGGGGGGACGGAGAAGGCUAUGUUAGCCGGGCGACGGUUGUCCCGGUUUAAGCAUGUAGGCUGAUUGUCCAGGCAAAUCCGGAUAAUCAAGGCUGAGGUGUGAUGACGAGGCACUACGGUGCUGAAGUAACAAAUGCCCUGCUUCCAGGAAAAGCCUCUAAGCAUCAGGUAACAUCAAAUCGUACCCCAAACCGACACAGGUGGUCAGGUAGAGAAUACCAAGGCGCUUGAGAGAACUCGGGUGAAGGAACUAGGCAAAAUGGUGCCGUAACUUCGGGAGAAGGCACGCUGGUGUGUAGGUGAAGUCCCUGCGGAUGGAGCUGAGACCAGUCGAAGAUACCAGCUGGCUGCAACUGUUUAUUAAAAACACAGCACUGUGCAAACACGAAAGUGGACGUAUACGGUGUGACGCCUGCCCGGUGCCGGAAGGUUAAUUGAUGGGGUUAUCCGUAAGGAGAAGCUCUUGAUCGAAGCCCCGGUAAACGGCGGCCGUAACUAUAACGGUCCUAAGGUAGCGAAAUUCCUUGUCGGGUAAGUUCCGACCUGCACGAAUGGCGUAAUGAUGGCCAGGCUGUCUCCACCCGAGACUCAGUGAAAUUGAACUCGCUGUGAAGAUGCAGUGUACCCGCGGCAAGACGGAAAGACCCCGUGAACCUUUACUAUAGCUUGACACUGAACAUUGAGCCUUGAUGUGUAGGAUAGGUGGGAGGCUUUGAAGCGUGGACGCCAGUCUGCGUGGAGCCAACCUUGAAAUACCACCCUUUAAUGUUUGAUGUUCUAACGUUGGCCCCUGACCGGGGUUGCGGACAGUGUCUGGUGGGUAGUUUGACUGGGGCGGUCUCCUCCCAAAGCGUAACGGAGGAGCACGAAGGUUAGCUAAUCCUGGUCGGACAUCAGGAGGUUAGUGCAAUGGCAUAAGCUAGCUUGACUGCGAGCGUGACGGCGCGAGCAGGUGCGAAAGCAGGUCAUAGUGAUCCGGUGGUUCUGAAUGGAAGGGCCAUCGCUCAACGGAUAAAAGGUACUCCGGGGAUAACAGGCUGAUACCGCCCAAGAGUUCAUAUCGACGGCGGUGUUUGGCACCUCGAUGUCGGCUCAUCACAUCCUGGGGCUGAAGUAGGUCCCAAGGGUAUGGCUGUUCGCCAUUUAAAGUGGUACGCGAGCUGGGUUUAGAACGUCGUGAGACAGUUCGGUCCCUAUCUGCCGUGGGCGCUGGAGAAUUGAGGGGGGCUGCUCCUAGUACGAGAGGACCGGAGUGGACGCAUCACUGGUGUUCGGGUUGUCAUGCCAAUGGCACUGCCCGGUAGCUAAAUGCGGAAGAGAUAAGUGCUGAAAGCAUCUAAGCACGAAACUUGCCCCGAGAUGAGUUCUCCCUGAGACUAUAAGUCUCCUGAAGGAACGUUAAAGACGAUGACGUUGAUAGGCCGGGUGUGUAAGCGCAGCGAUGCGUUGAGCUAACCGGUACUAAUGAACCGUGAGGCUUAACCUU